GCCGAUGUGGUGGAAUUGGUAGACACGCCGUCUUGAGGGGGCGGUGGCGCGAGCCGUGUGAGUUCGAGUCUCACCAUCGGCACCA
This 85-nucleotide transfer RNA is filed under the name Gammaproteobacteria bacterium. RNAcentral's name for it is "tRNA-Leu". It matches the Rfam family "tRNA". Rfam says of the family: Transfer RNA (tRNA) molecules are approximately 80 nucleotides in length. Their secondary structure includes four short double-helical elements and three loops (D, anti-codon, and T loops). Further hydrogen bonds mediate the characteristic L-shaped molecular structure. tRNAs have two regions of fundamental functional importance: the anti-codon, which is responsible for specific mRNA codon recognition, and the 3' end, to which the tRNAs corresponding amino acid is attached (by aminoacyl-tRNA synthetases). tRNAs cope with the degeneracy of the genetic code in two manners: having more than one tRNA (with a specific anti-codon) for a particular amino acid; and 'wobble' base-pairing, i.e. permitting non-standard base-pairing at the 3rd anti-codon position. RNAcentral also lists the same sequence under 1 other name. Lineage: Bacteria; Pseudomonadati; Pseudomonadota; Gammaproteobacteria. The record is from RNAcentral.